UUUUAUGGAGAGUUUGAUCCUGGCUCAGGAUGAACGCUGGCGGCGUGCCUAAUACAUGCAAGUCGAGCGAACGGACGAGAAGCUUGCUUCUCUGAUGUUAGCGGCGGACGGGUGAGUAACACGUGGAUAACCUACCUAUAAGACUGGGAUAACUUCGGGAAACCGGAGCUAAUACCGGAUAAUAUUUUGAACCGCAUGGUUCAAAAGUAAAAGACGGUCUUGCUGUCACUUAUAGAUGGAUCCGCGCUGCAUUAGCUAGUUGGUAAGGUAACGGCUUACCAAGGCAACGAUGCAUAGCCGACCUGAGAGGGUGAUCGGCCACACUGGAACUGAGACACGGUCCAGACUCCUACGGGAGGC
RNAcentral lists this ribosomal RNA (360 nucleotides) under Staphylococcus aureus. RNAcentral's name for it is "bacterial SSU rRNA". It matches the Rfam family "Bacterial small subunit ribosomal RNA", at positions 1 to 349 of the family's 1533-position model. Lineage: Bacteria; Bacillati; Bacillota; Bacilli; Caryophanales; Staphylococcaceae. The record is from RNAcentral.